RNAcentral lists this ribosomal RNA (253 nucleotides) under uncultured bacterium. Its description in RNAcentral is "partial 16S ribosomal RNA". It matches the Rfam family "Bacterial small subunit ribosomal RNA", at positions 524 to 776 of the family's 1533-position model. The record is from RNAcentral.
UACGGAGGGGGCUAGCGUUGUUCGGAAUUACUGGGCGUAAAGCGCACGUAGGCGGCUUUGUAAGUUAGAGGUGAAAGCCCAGGGCUUAACCCUGGAAUUGCCUUUAAGACUGCAUCGCUAGAAUCGUGGAGAGGUAAGUGGAAUUCCGAGUGUAGAGGUGAAAUUCGUAGAUAUCGGGAGGAACACCGGUGGCGAAGGCGGCGAUCUGGGUAGAUACUGACGCUGAGGUGCGAAAGCGUGGGGAGCAAACAGG